UAUGUUCUAAAGUUUGCUUCUUUGUUCUACGAGGUUUUCGACAAACUUUUCCAGCCAAAUAACUUUGUCAACCAAAAACCACAAACCAAACCCAGAUAAGCAGCAAACACAGUAUAGAUUGAUGGAAAAAAAACAUGUUUUUUAUUUUUUUUCCAACUGUGUGCAAAGUAUUUCCAUAAUACUAUGUCUUUGAUCAUUUUUUUUAAACUGUGAUCAUUAUACUCUUUUAUUUUCUAGCUGUGGUGCUGUUUGAUGUCAACAGGACCCCAGAGGAGCGUCAGUUUGGACAGAAAUCCCCGCCGCCGUCUGACAGACAGUUCAGUUCAGCUGAGUCACUGGUGAGCUCUGCUGCUGACAGCCAAUGAACACCCUCCAAGAUCCUCCUGUAUUCAGGUCAAUGACAGACGAGCGCCGCCGCUAAUCCAUGGAGCGCAGGACGUUCUGCGGAGUCACAGCCGGAGCGGAAACAUCCAUUCCUGCUGGAUUCCUCCUACAGAGGCGCUCGAUAACGAGAGCGAGCAGCAACAGAGACGGAGAGUAAAUCACUCAGGACUCACUGACCUGCACUGAUCAAUAGCGGCCCCGAUGGCGUUUGGCUGAGAAUGCAAAAGCGCUGUCUUCAGCUGAGCUACAAUGUGCUGCGGCGGCAUACAUCAACGGCCGGCCGCCGGUUUGAGAGCCGUCCGUACAUCACAGUCAGACCGACGUUUGGAAGAGAUCAUUAAAGCAACAUUUACAGGUUUAUGCAUCUCCAAAAAAGAAAAAAACAUACAUUUGAUUAUAAACUCAUUUGAAAUGUCAUAAUCCUGAACGUCGGUUUAUCCUUACAAUUUAAUGAUUGGAAAGGUGCAGGUAGAAGUGAUGAAACAAGAGGAAAACCUCAGACAAAAUGAUAACUUUUAGUCAGAAAAUGAGUCAAAAUUUGAGAGGAUGGCAAGAAAAUUAACAAAAAUAGGCCAGAACUGGGAGAUACAAGUGAUACGCAGGCUACAAAUAAACCCAGAAUGUAUUGUGUAUUUAUUAAAAAAGCAAUUGCAGUAUUACACAAAGUAAAAUGGUUCUUAGACAGUAAUUCAUUAUAUCUAUUAUAUAAUUCCUUGAUUAUGCCAUAUCUGAACUACUGUAUAGAAAUUUGGGGUACAACUUAUAAAACAUAUAUUUAUCCAAUUUACAUAUUGCAAAAAAAAGCAAUAAGAAUUAUUACCAAAAGUAAUUAUAGGGACCCGUCUAAUCCAUUAUUUAUUAAAUUAAAACUAUUAAAACUUUACGAUCUUAUAAACUUUAAUAUUUUGAAAUUUAUGUUUAAAGUAAAUAUGAAAUGCCUUCCUCCUAAUUUAAUGAAAAGAUACAUGAAAAGAAAAAGUAAAUUUAAUCUAAAAGGACAUGAAAUAUUUGUGAAACCAAAACACAGAAUAUUGCUAAAAGAACGAUGUAUAUCAGUAGAUGGAGUUACCAAAUGGAAUAAAUUGAGCGUAGAAAUUAAAAAUGCUACAUCAGUAUCAAGUUUUAAAAACUACAUUAAAAACAGUAUUAUCAACGACUAUAAAACUAUCUAAAACAGAUAACAUUUACUCAUCCCAAAUGUAUGAUUUUCCUUUCACACUGGUUGAUGUUGUAGUUAUAAGAUUUUGGUUUUUUUUUUCUUUCCCAAUCUUCUCCAAUUGUAUAUUGAACCAGCCGAAUGCUUGUGUAUCUGUAUCUUUCUUUUUUAAUUGAUUGAUUUAUUGGUUUUUUACAAGGGGCAGACAAAAUAAGUUUUUCUUCUUUCUGUCCCCUUUUCAUUUUUUUUUCCCUUUAUAUCAUGCUUGAGCUUACAACUCAAGUUUAUGUUGUAUGUUUUUUAAUGAAUAAAAAUGAAAUAAAAAAAUAAAAAAAAUAAAAAAA
Molecule: long non-coding RNA, 1884 nt
Organism: Oryzias melastigma (Indian medaka)
Lineage: Eukaryota; Metazoa; Chordata; Actinopteri; Beloniformes; Adrianichthyidae
Exons: 2
Source: RefSeq, a predicted model, not a curated record